Molecule: ribosomal RNA, 501 nt
Filed under: uncultured bacterium
Lineage: Bacteria
Description: partial 16S ribosomal RNA
Rfam family: Bacterial small subunit ribosomal RNA
Source: RNAcentral
AUUGAGCGCUGGCGGCAGGCUUAACACAUGCAAGUCGAGCGGGGAAGGGUAGCUUGCUACCUAACCUAGCGGCGGACGGGUGAGUAAUGCUUAGGAAUCUGCCAUUUAGUGGGGGACAACAUUCCGAAAGGAAUGCUAAUACCGCAUACGUCCUACGGGAGAAAGCAGGGGAUCUUCGGACCUUGCGCUAAAUGAUGAGCCUAAGUCGGAUUAGCUAGUUGGUGGGGUAAAGGCCUACCAAGGCGACGAUCUGUAGCGGGUCUGAGAGGAUGAUCCGCCACACUGGGACUGAGACACGGCCCAGACUCCUACGGGAGGCAGCAGUGGGGAAUAUUGGACAAUGGGCGGAAGCCUGAUCCAGCCAUGCCGCGUGUGUGAAGAAGGCCUUAUGGUUGUAAAGCACUUUAAGCGAGGAGGAGGCUACUUAGAUUAAUACUCUAGGAUAGUGGACGUUACUCGCAGAAUAAGCACCGGCUAACUCUGUGCCAGCAGCCGCGGUAA